UUUAAAAAAAAGUGCCUUAAAAACUAC
RNAcentral lists this ribosomal RNA (27 nucleotides) under Leptasterias aleutica. RNAcentral describes it as "partial 16S ribosomal RNA". Lineage: Eukaryota; Metazoa; Echinodermata; Asteroidea; Forcipulatida; Asteriidae. The record is from RNAcentral.